CCUACGGGAGGCAGCAGUGGGGAAUCUUGCGCAAUGGGCGAAAGCCUGACGCAGCAACGCCGCGUGCGGGAAGAAGGCCUUCGGGUUGUAAACCGCUUUCAGCAGGAACGAAAAUGACGGUACCUGCAGAAGAAGGUGCGGCCAACUACGUGCCAGCAGCCGCGGUGACACGUAGGCACCAAGCGUUGUCCGGAUUUAUUGGGCGUAAAGAGCUCGUAGGCGGUUCAGUAAGUCGGGUGUGAAAACUGUGGGCUUAACCCACAGCCUGCACUCGAAACUGCUGUGACUAGAGUUCGGUAGGGGAGCGGGGAAUUCCUGGUGUAGCGGUGAAAUGCGCAGAUAUCAGGAGGAACACCGGUGGCGAAGGCGCCGCUCUGGGCCGACACUGACGCUGAGGAGCGAAAGCGUGGGUAGCAAACAGGAUUAGAUACCCUGGUAGUCCACGCCGUAAACGUUGGGCACUAGGUGUGGGUCUCAACCAACGAGAUCCGCGCCGUCGCUAACGCAUUAAGUGCCCCGCCUGGGGAGUACGGUCGCAAGACUAAAACUCAAAGGAAUUGACGG
This 564-nucleotide ribosomal RNA is filed under the name uncultured Actinomycetes bacterium. Its description in RNAcentral is "bacterial SSU rRNA". It matches the Rfam family "Bacterial small subunit ribosomal RNA", at positions 338 to 916 of the family's 1533-position model. Lineage: Bacteria; Bacillati; Actinomycetota; Actinomycetes. The record is from RNAcentral.